GAUGAACGCUGGCGGCGUGCCUAAUACAUGCAAGUCGAGCGAACAGAUGAGGAGCUUGCUCCUCUGACGUUAGCGGCGGACGGGUGAGUAACACGUGGAUAACCUACCUAUAAGACUGGGAUAACUUCGGGAAACCGGAGCUAAUACCGGAUAAUAUAUUGAACCGCAUGGUUCAAUAGUGAAAGACGGUUUUGCUGUCACUUAUAGAUGGAUCCGCGCCGCAUUAGCUAGUUGGUAAGGUAACGGCUUACCAAGGCAACGAUGCGUAGCCGACCUGAGAGGGUGAUCGGCCACACUGGAACUGAGACACGGUCCAGACUCCUACGGGAGGCAGCAGUAGGGAAUCUUCCGCAAUGGGCGAAAGCCUGACGCAGCAACGCCGCGUGAGUGAUGAAGGUCUUCGGAUCGUAAAACUCUGUUAUUAGGGAAGAACAAAUGUGUAAGUAACUAUGCACGUCUUGACGGUACCUAAUCAGAAAGCCACGGCUAACUACGUG
RNAcentral lists this ribosomal RNA (497 nucleotides) under uncultured bacterium. RNAcentral's name for it is "partial 16S ribosomal RNA". It matches the Rfam family "Bacterial small subunit ribosomal RNA", at positions 28 to 507 of the family's 1533-position model. The record is from RNAcentral.